CGGGUGCGUAACGCGUAUGCAACCUACCUUGAACAGGGGGAUAGCCCGGAGAAAUCCGGAUUAAUACCGCAUAAUAUAAUUGAACCAGCAUUGGUUUAUUAUUAAAGAUUUAUUGGUUCAAGAUGGGCAUGCGUGUCAUUAGCUAGUUGGUGAGGUAACGGCCCACCAAGGCGACGAUGACUAGGGGAUCUGAGAGGAUGACCCCCCACACUGGUACUGAGACACGGACCAG
RNAcentral lists this ribosomal RNA (232 nucleotides) under uncultured bacterium. Its description in RNAcentral is "partial 16S ribosomal RNA". It matches the Rfam family "Bacterial small subunit ribosomal RNA", at positions 103 to 334 of the family's 1533-position model. The record is from RNAcentral.